GCUAAACACAGAGGCUACACACAACAGAAAUACCUCUUACUGUACACCAGGCACAUGCCUGUGGAGGGCAGAGCCUGAAAGCAAGGAAAGCAAGGAGCCUGACUGUGAGGAGAGAGACUCCAUCAGGCAAGGCCUCCUUCCACCUGCCUUGCCCCACCCUCCGGCCCUAGGAGUCUUCAUAAGGGAGCUGUUCCUGGAGGAAGAACUGUGAGGGGAGAAACUCCAUCAGGCAAGGCCUCCUUCCACCUGCCUUGCUCUACUCUCUGCUUCUCAAUGUGUAUUGUAUUGUUUUAUGUACUGUGGCUUGCCGUUGUUUUAUUGAUUAUAGUUUAGAUAUUAUUGUAACUGUUGAGUGGAUUUCUGUUUAACUUUUAUAUGUUGAUAUUAUUUUAUACUAUUCUAAUGAUUGUUGAAUGUUACUUUUUUGAUGGAGGUUGCCUAUUUUAAAGUUAUGUUUUAUUAUCACAUUUUUGUAUUGCAUUGGAUUGUUAAAAGAUGUAAUUUUUUGUUUCUUCAGCUGUAAACUGCCUUGAGUAUUGUAAGAUAGAAAGGCGGUAUACAAAUUAAAAAUGAUGAUGAUGAUAACAAGCCAGAGAAAAGAAUGUGGGUUAAAUAUGGAUACAACUUUAUUGGAAACAAUACAUCCCCAGUUUAUUGCAGCAUAAGAUAAGGAUCUGUCUGUUGGGCAGCUUGCCUGCUGGCGCACGUCGCUGCCCAGCUUGCUUGCUGGGAUAACCAAGGGAGUCAGCAAGCCGGUAGGCUCCAUGAUGGUGCAGGCCAGGGCUGCCAGGCAUGUGGGCCCACAUGCAACAUGGGUGCAUAGUUGCCAACUUGUGUCCCUCCCCUCAACUGGGGCAGAAGCUUUCCCCCAUUGCUUAUGGGGAUCCCCUCAUAAGCAAUGGAUCCUACCCAGGUUCACUAGUGGAAAAGUUGUGACAGGGUGAGAAAGCCAAUAAACAGCCUUGCCACAGGGAAGGCAAAAAAAAAUUCUCAGCCUACGAGCCAGUCAAGGCUGUGGGUAAAAUUCUCAGGCCUGUCAACCAUUGACCAAGUGCUGUCCACAGCAAAGAUGGCUGCAAUCAAGGGAGGAUGGAUAGGGAACCUGUGAACUGAGCACACUGCCAUACUCUUGCCCCAUGCCAGUCUUCAGAGACUGGCCACAAGGACAGGCAGAGCAUGAUCACAGGCUUUGCCCCAGGAACCCACUGAGGCCACCUAUAGGCUCUCAGGGGGCCCAGUUCUGUCUCUUCCUCCCCCCAUGCACACACAUGUACACAAACAUAAACACCACAUAUCUAAUCUACACACACACACACACACACACACACACACACGGAUUUGAGGCACUUGGGGACCAUUUAGGAUAUUGACAAUGAAAUGAUUCUUGUCACUGUUUGUCUCUCAGUUUCAGUACAGGAAACAAAGACAGGGAAUGAAACAGAAGGGGUGCAAGAUUGAAGGCGUAUGACUGUUCUUCCUACAAGGAGUGCAGGUCCUUCAGAUGAGUGGGAAGAGGCAGAGCCAUGACUGAGAGAAAAAGGUGCCAUCUUCAAUACAAUGCAGAGGAGAAGACUGCGGAUAUUUUCAGAGCAGAGGCAAUAACAAAGGAGGCAUCCAGAGAUAAGUGAAGUGAUUGUGUUAUUUAUAAAAGAAAACUAUACAGAGUGUCAUGAUGGGGGAGAGAGGCAAAAUCUCAUUAAAUGCUUUAUCAAAUGCAAAUAGAGCAUCUGAAUAUAUAAACAAUAUCAUAAGAUAGAUUGUUCAAUUGUUAUAUAAACACAUCUGAAUAAAUAUUAAAGGAAAUAAACAGCGGGGUAGUUUAGCAAAUCUUGUAACUGGCUGCACUGCCAUAGUACGAUCUAAUGCUAAUUCAAAAAGCAGCAUUCAUCAUCUAGUACAAGAAGAGGUGAAUGUAAAAUGACAUUUUAUACAUAUAUCUAUUUCUGUUGCGAGUAUGAAGUGCACUACCAUUAUGACUCUCCAGGCUAUCAUAACAUGAUACACUUCUAUCUAAUGUUUACGUGCUUAAAUGUGACAUUUCCCAAUGAUUUGUUUCAUAACGUCUGUGUGGAAAAAAGAAACAGGAUUUACUCAUAUAGAUGAUCCUUUCUGCACUUCAAAAAUGGUUCUGAAACGUUUUCUUCACUUCUGCUCCGUGAUUUCUGUUUCUUUGCUGCAUCUGGUUGGUAGCUUGACUCCAGUAAUGAGUUAAUUGAUGAGAAGACCAAUGCAAUUGGGGGAAUGGCUUUUUUCCCCUGCUGCUUCUAGUGCUGCUUAGGAAUACCCUGUGGUUUCUUUCAUACCGAGCUUCAAAUGCGAUGUUAUUAUACCUGACCUCAUAAAUGGAUUGGAGAGUCCAAAUCUUUACACUCUCCCACUGUUCAAAAACAAAUCUCUCGGAAGUAAGAGCCAUUAAAAUUCCAUUAGAAACAGCAGGCAAUAGGUCUAGAAAUCUGUAAAAUGGCUCUGUGAGGGAUGAGUGAAAAGGGCACCAUUAUACUUUAUUUAUUUGUUUUCUUUUUGGACUGAUUAACAAAUCAAGUACCUCCUAAAUAAUUUGGAGGGAUUCCAUGUUUAGAAAACAUCCUGUUCUGUUUAUCUCUUUUGGAAUAAACUUUCCAUUGAAAGGGUAUAGACAGAGAUUUCAUAGAAUCACAGAAUAAUAGAGUUGGAAGAGAGGGUCAUCUAGUCCAAUCCCCUGCAAUGCAGAAAUGUCAACUAAAGCAUCCAUGACAGGUGACCAUCCAAUCUCUGGAUUCAUAGAAUCACAGAAUAAUAGAGUUGGAAGAGAGGGUCAUCUAGUCCAAUCCCCUGCAAUGCAGAAAUGUCAACUAAAGCAUCCAUGACAGGUGACCAUCAAUCUCUGCUUAAAAAUCUGCCAGAAGGAGAGUCCACAAGCUUCUGAGGGAAUCUGUUCCACUGUGAAACAGCUCUUACUAUCAGGAAGUUCUUCCUGAGGUUUAUAAUCUCUUUUCUUGUAACUGGAAGCCAUGGGUUUGGAUCCUACCCUCCAGAACAGGGGAAAACAAGCUUGCUCCAUCUUCCCUUUGACAGCCCUUAAUAUUUUUGAAGAUGACCAUCAUAUCUCCUUUCCAUCUCCUAUCCAGGCUAAAUAUACUCAACUCCCUCAACUAUUCCUCAUAAGACGGUUUCCAGAUUGUUGAUCAUCUUGGUAGCCCUCCUCUGCACACAUUCCAGAUUGUCAAUAUCCUUCUUAAAAUGUGUCUCUCAGAACAGGAGACAUACUCAAGGUGAAGUCUGAUCAAGGCAGAAUAGAGUGGUAUCUUACAUUUGUGCAACUGCUUUCCCCUGCUUAAGUGUAGAACCUUACAUUUGUCCCCUUACAUCUACAAGCUCCUUUAGCAUCAUUGGGUGCAUAAAUCAGGCCCUGGAGAUCUGAAUUAAUUUAAAGUCGCUAGAUGUUCCCUUACUACCUGUUUUCCUAUCUUGAGCUACAUCUUCCCCUUGCAUCAUCCUCUGUUAUCAGCAGGUUAGGUACUGCUUUCCAUUUGGGUGAAGACAGAGGCAAAACAAGUUUUGAGCAGUUCCACCUUUGUUUUGUCAUCCAAUAGUAUUAUCUGUCUUCUCCACUCAGAGAACCUACUAGUUGCUUGUUCUUCCUCUUGUUUAGGCACUGAGUCUUCAGCACUGAGGGUGGACCGCAGAUAAGCCUUUUGAUUUUAUCCAGGGCCAAUGUCAGCACCUGGCAUACCCAGGCAGCUGCUGGGGCCCAAGUGGCCUGCCAGGCACCAGGGCUGACAUACACAUCCUGCUGGCAGAUGGGCUUACCUGGAAGUGCCAGCCCUCUUGGGAUAAGUGUGGUUAGGAUGCCUGGAUGGUUUCUUUUACAGAUUUUGUACUGUACUAUUAUCUUGCCAGCCUCCCUGAUUAGAAAAUCAGGAGGGAAAUCCUUCAACAUAAAUGAUACCUAUAAUGAGCACUAUUUGUCAUCAUCUCAAGAACAUUUUAAAAUUACUAGUAUAGAGUCUAAUCUUUCUAACACUGACAAUAUGAUUGGCUAGCUUCAGUUUUACAUUUUACCUCCACUCUCGUGGUAUAUAUAUGUUCAUGCAAUUAAUAUAUCAAUUAAUGUUGCCAUUGAACCUGGAAUGUAAGAGUUCUCAAAUGAGCAUUCAAAUGGAAAUGAGUGCACUGUUGGAAACUGCUUCUGUUGGUCUGAAUUCAAUUGUCUUGGUUACUUUGUAAGCAGAGAUUGCUUUUUUGGUACUUCAGAUAUGAUAUUGCUUUUCAAGUGCUAAAUUAGCUAUGCAAAGAUUCAUCCAGAAAUAGAUUUGCAAGCAUAUUAACCGGCUUAGCUUAAAUCAGAGAAUUACCCUCAUUCUGCAUAAACUAAGAAUUUCUUCCCAUCAGCUCCCGUGCUGUCAAGGAUGGGGAAUUGCUUUGACAGUACAGUUAUGAAUUAUCAUAUUGGGAUCUAGUCAGGAAUCAGCUUGUGAUGAGACUAGGCUUUACGUUAUAAUACACAGUUGGCUACUACCAAAAAGAGCAGCUGAUUUCGCCACGUAGAACCUGAUAUCAUGAUACUGUGUAUUUGCUAUGCCCCCUGACAGAGGCAGUGAAUGACAGAAGUAAAUAAUGCACAUGACAUCAGGACACUGUAGUCCGGAUGUUGAUGGACUACAGCACCCAUCAGCCCCAGUCAGUAUUGUCAAUGGUCAGGGACAACAAAACUUGGAGGGCACCAUGUUGGCAACCCUGAACUUGACAGUAUAGAGUGGGUGAAGGGAACGAAAUAUGCAGCACUAUACUCAGUGACAGCCAUGCAUUUACUACAAUGUCUAGUUCCACAGUGUCUAGCAUGGAGUGAUGGUGGUGCUGCUGCUGUUGCUAUGGUUACAGCAUCAGUCAUCAGAAACAGAUGUGGCAUAAUGGCUUGGGAACUGGGUGGUUUUUACAGAUAUUUUAAAUAAAGCAUUUUUAACUUGUUUGGGGGCUGCUAUGGCGGAGCUGCACUAUUGGUUUUGAAGUGCGUGUAGGAUUUAUUUAUUCAUUUGUUCACAUCCAUGUGUCUCAAGAGACAACGGAAGAUUGCAGCAUUGGGGGUAAAGUCAAACAGCUGGAGAGUUACAGCACCUGCUAUGGAUGUAGAGACCUAUACAGGAUCUACAAACUGAUCUUUAUUUUUAUUUAAAUCAACCAAAUCUACCACUAAUCUAAUGUCUAAUCCUAAUCCUAAUCUAAUGUUAUCUGCAGCCUGUCUUGUUUUUAUAAAGCCGGUCUGAUACCUCUCAAUUACCGCCGCAAUUACCUGUUGGAUUCUAUUUGCUAGUAAUUUUUUUGUAUCAACAUCAAAGAUACAUUCACACAUUUUGUGUGAUCCUUAUUUGAUUUAGGAAUAACUGUGAUAUAAACUUGGUUAAAUAUUGUUGAUAAAAUGCAUUUAUCAGGUAUCUCAUCAUACAACUGAUGAAGUUUUGGUACCAAUAAAUCUGUAUAUGUUCGUAUGCUUCCCCAUUCAAAUAUACGUGCAGAUGUUAUCUCAGCAUCCAGUUCAAAGUAUUGUACAGCCUCUGCCCACAUUUGUUGUGUAAAUUCCUUAUCAUUAAGUAGGGAGACAUUGAAGUACCAAUUUUUCCCUACUUUAGUUGAUUUAUGAAAUUCACGUCUCAAGAUAACUGCGUUACGAUCAGAUACAUAACUGAUGUCAAUGCUACAAUCUUGAAUUUGAUGGUACAGUGAGGAUGAGGUUAAAAAAUAAUCCAAUCUAAAGAAAUUAUGGUUUAGGGCUGACAGAAAUGUGUAAUCUCUUUGGUUGGCCAUGGUUCUAUCAGAUUAAAUUAUUGCAUAUAUUGUCUAAG
RNAcentral lists this long non-coding RNA (5819 nucleotides) under Podarcis lilfordi (Lilford's wall lizard). Lineage: Eukaryota; Metazoa; Chordata; Lepidosauria; Squamata; Lacertidae. The record is from RNAcentral.